This 758-nucleotide ribosomal RNA is filed under the name Escherichia coli. Its description in RNAcentral is "partial 23S ribosomal RNA". It matches the Rfam family "Bacterial large subunit ribosomal RNA", at positions 431 to 1191 of the family's 2925-position model. Lineage: Bacteria; Pseudomonadati; Pseudomonadota; Gammaproteobacteria; Enterobacterales; Enterobacteriaceae. The record is from RNAcentral. RNAcentral also lists the same sequence under 1 other name.
AUCCUGUCUGAAUAUGGGGGGACCAUCCUCCAAGGCUAAAUACUCCUGACUGACCGAUAGUGAACCAGUACCGUGAGGGAAAGGCGAAAAGAACCCCGGCGAGGGGAGUGAAAAAGAACCUGAAACCGUGUACGUACAAGCAGUGGGAGCCUCUUUAUGGGGUGACUGCGUACCUUUUGUAUAAUGGGUCAGCGACUUAUAUUCUGUAGCAAGGUUAACCGAAUAGGGGAGCCGAAGGGAAACCGAGUCUUAACUGGGCGUUAAGUUGCAGGGUAUAGACCCGAAACCCGGUGAUCUAGCCAUGGGCAGGUUGAAGGUUGGGUAACACUAACUGGAGGACCGAACCGACUAAUGUUGAAAAAUUAGCGGAUGACUUGUGGCUGGGGGUGAAAGGCCAAUCAAACCGGGAGAUAGCUGGUUCUCCCCGAAAGCUAUUUAGGUAGCGCCUCGUGAAUUCAUCUCCGGGGGUAGAGCACUGUUUCGGCAAGGGGGUCAUCCCGACUUACCAACCCGAUGCAAACUGCGAAUACCGGAGAAUGUUAUCACGGGAGACACACGGCGGGUGCUAACGUCCGUCGUGAAGAGGGAAACAACCCAGACCGCCAGCUAAGGUCCCAAAGUCAUGGUUAAGUGGGAAACGAUGUGGGAAGGCCCAGACAGCCAGGAUGUUGGCUUAGAAGCAGCCAUCAUUUAAAGAAAGCGUAAUAGCUCACUGGUCGAGUCGGCCUGCGCGGAAGAUGUAACGGGGCUAAACCAUG